CUACGGGAGGCAGCAGUGGGGAAUCUUGGACAAUGGGGGCAACCCUGAUCCAGCAACGCCGCGUGGGUGAAGAAGGCCUUCGGGUUGUAAAGCACUUUAAGCGAGGAGGAGGCUACUUGGAUUAAUACUCUAGGAUAGUGGACGUUACUCGCAGAAUAAGCACCGGCUAACUCUGUGCCAGCAGCCGCGGUAAUACAGAGGGUGCGAGCGUUAAUCGGAUUUACUGGGCGUAAAGCGUGCGUAGGCGGCUUUUUAAGUCGGAUGUGAAAUCCCUGAGCUUAACUUAGGAAUUGCAUUCGAUACUGGGAAGCUAGAGUAUGGGAGAGGAUGGUAGAAUUCCAGGUGUAGCGGUGAA
RNAcentral lists this ribosomal RNA (355 nucleotides) under uncultured Gammaproteobacteria bacterium. RNAcentral's name for it is "bacterial SSU rRNA". It matches the Rfam family "Bacterial small subunit ribosomal RNA", at positions 339 to 685 of the family's 1533-position model. Lineage: Bacteria; Pseudomonadati; Pseudomonadota; Gammaproteobacteria. The record is from RNAcentral.